CUUUGUCCUCCAAUUUGAAUCUUUUCUCAAAAAACUUCUGCGAUCAACUCUUCAAGACUCCAAACAACUUUACGAAAUUCGCCAACCUAUAAAAUCCUUAACAAUCUCCCCCUUUGGCGAUUUCGUGACAAAAUAUACUACAAAGCUCGUAUACAACCAAUAAGUCAUAAAAAGAAGAUCAUCGCAAUCACCAAACGAUAAUCUCCUGCAUGAUCAAUCCAAUAAACAAAAUUUACACUUUUACAACCUUAAAACAAACUCUAUGACUUAGACAUGGAGUCUUGAAGUCUUGAAUUAUUCCUGCAAAAACAUUCUCAAAACAUAAUCAAGAUUCAAGUAUCAAUAAGUAUCAAGAAGAUCAAACAAUCAACUAAAGUUCACACUUCAUAGUUCAUAGUUAAACUAAACAAAAACACUAAGUCAAACACCUAAAGCAUUAAAACAAAGUCAUCUUAACUAAGCAAAGCCCUAAAAGCAUUAAAACAAAGUCAUCUUAACUAAGCAAAGCCCUAAGCUAAAUGCAUCAGCAUCAUCAUUAAGACCCCAUCACCUCCCCCUUUUUGUCAGAAAGCGCCAAAACGACAAAAGGAGAAGCUCGGUAAAUCCUAGUCAGAAUUAUCUCCUGGAGGUAAAUCCGCCCGACAACAUCCUAAUUUGUCAAAAAUCAUAUUCAACAAGCGCUUCAUCUUGCUCACAUCCUUACGAAUUGCAGCUUGUUCUGCAGACAACUUCUGAAGCUCCUCAGAUAGACGUUGCUGCUCGCGAUACACCGAUGAAACGGAAAUAUCNNNNNNNNNNNNNNNNNNNNNNNNNNNNNNNNNNNNNNNNNNNNNNNNNNNNNNNNNNNNNNNNNNNNNNNNNNNNNNNNNNNNNNNNNNNNNNNNNNNNGACAGAGCCUAAGUUUAAUCAACAAUUGAGAAAAUAAAAUGUUGUUUAAUUUGUGAGACGUUAUGAGUACUUUUAAUAAUGAUGAGGCCUUUUAAAUAUUACAAACCACGUUCUCUAUUCCAUGAGCUAAAGUUUAACCUUAAAAUCAUAAUCUAGAUAUAUAUAAUAAAUGAUAAGAUACAUAAAUCACACACACGCACCAGGUGCAAGUAACAAAUUCUAAAAACAAAGCAACAAUGCAAAAGGCCUAUAUAUAUAUAUAUAUAUAUAUAUAUAUAUAUAUAUAUAUCAUGCAGCUGUGUUGUCACUUCUGAGACGUAUAUAUUAGUGAUGAUGGAGGAGAGAGAGAGAGAGAGAGAGAGAGAGAGAGAGAGAGAGAGAGGGAGGAAGAAGCUGCAUGCUGAGUCUGUGUGAGAACACGGGAUAUGUUGGUUUUGCAGGGAUUCUCUGCGGAGUGGAAUGAUUACACCCUACACCAAGCUAGGGCUUAGCCUGAGACACCCUACCUAGGGCACAAAAAUCUCAAAAAGAGAUAAAAAAAAAUGGUGAUUAAUUAACAAAGCCAGGGCUUCAGGUUUUGUGCAAAUUCAGAAACUUCAAAUUAGCUGGUCUUUAAUAAAGCGUGUGAAUGUGGAAUAAUAACUUACAAAAUGGGGGUAUAAAUUAUAAAAUGGGGAUAACUUAUAAAAUAUUCGGCUAUGAUAUACCUUCUAGUUUAUUUUCUAUUUAAAUAUCGAUGGAUUUAUAGUAAAGUAUAGGAGAGGGCCUUUCUUAAUAGAUAUAUGUAUAUGAAUGGGAGUUGAGCUAGAAUACUCUCAAAAGCAUCAUGAAUGUGAUAUUUUUGAGUUUUUAGUCAUUGGAUGGAGAAAUGUAAGGUUGAGAUGACGGUGGUAGGUGGUGAUAGGUGGAAUAGUAUUUGAUCCAAAGACUAUUAGUAAUCAAGGAGUAGAUCCAAGGGUUAAAAACCUAAAAGCACUAAGAGCUUGGUGUUUCUAAAAGUAUUCUAGCUCAAUUCUAUAAAUCGUAAGUUUACUUGGAAUACUAAUAAUAGUAAAUAAAUAGUAUUUAUUAUCAAUUUUUUAAUUCUUGAAUCAAUAUCAAUCCAUCUACAUCCGCUAAAUCAAAGCAUCAUAUAUAGGACUAAAAAAUUUAUUUCAAAUCCUAUUUCUUUGCUAUUAAUAGUAUUCCGACUUUAUUCUAUGAACUAUAAGCAAUAAUAAUUAUUAGAUUUGAAUGUCUGUGGUGGGUAGCGGAGGGCUCAGGCAUGGUAUGGAUCGGAUCCGAAACUCGUUAAGAGUUUUCCUUUUUAUUUUUUUUUGCCCUAAAGGUGUGAGAUCGUGGUUGGUUGUACUAUUUGAACAUUGUAUUUCCUUUUUCGUUCGAUAGUGAGGUUCUCUCCUCCUUCGCCCGUGGUUUUUUCCUGCAAAAGAUUUUUCACGUAAAUCUGUGUGUUUUCUUUUGUUUCUGCUUGUGAUUUGUUUAUUUUGUAUUCGUCAUUUUGUUUUUGUUUGUGCGUUUGUCGUAACAGGGAUAGCAGAAUGCUACUCUCUCGAAAAAAAAAAAUCUAAAAUGUGACAGCCACAUGAAGUGAUACACCCACUAGCAACAGAGCACAUGAAGCAGUUAUACAUCUUUUUGCCUGUUGUGAUUUUUUCAUGCUCACUUGAGCCGAAUGCGGAAAACUCUCUAGAUACAUCCACUGACCUUCAAUUACUAUAGGCAGAUCGAUGUGUUUUUCUUUUCACCUGGAUUCCAAUAAGGAAAAAAGCACCGGUCAAGUUGCGAUGUAAAAUUGAUUCGAUGUUUGCUAUCAUUUUCUAAAACUUAUGAAAAGAGUGCAAUAAUAAAAUUUUCAAUAGGUUGUAUAAAUCAUCCAAAGAACUAAUUUGAGUAUCACAUAAUAAUGCACUAAUGUGGUUCAAAUUUUUGUAACUACGGAUUCAAUUAGAGGAUUCAAUCAUUGCGUGCUGCAUGUCUACUCAUCCUACACUUAUUUUUUAUAUAACUUCUAUUAUAUUCAAUGACAGGUAAUUAACACCCUGUACAAUCCUUUCAAAAAAGAAAAAGUCACAUGAAGUAAUGUGGUAGUGUUUUCAAUCAAUUAAAUUAUUAUACAUUAAUUUAUCCAUCUCAUUAUAAUUAAAAAAAUAUUUUUAUUAUAUUUUUUAGAAAAUAAUUAUUGACUGAAUAUAAGUAAUGUGAUAUACCUCCCCCCCCCCUCUCUCUCUCUCUCUCUCUCUCUCUCUCCUCUCUCUCUCUCCGGGCGUGAACUGAGCAAAAGAUAUGGUAGUGAAGAAGGUUACGUACGUUGGGUCUGAAAACGAGUCAUGACUCAUGACUCGUGAGGAAUCGAGUAGUCUCUUAAUAAUAAUAAUAAUAAUAAUAUUAUUAUUAUUAUUUCUGUUGCAUGCAUGUGUUCGUACAUACGUACGUGCUUUAUUUGUAAACUCGCGCGUAUGCAUGCAGAUGCAUGGACGUGUUACGUACGUAGGGUAAUAGUAAGUGCUGAAUAUAAAUAAUAAUAUAUGUGUGUCUUUAGUAACUUAAAGCUUUUUUUAAAAAAAUUAUUAUUUUUAUAUAAUUUAAUAUGGUAUGAAAUCAGUAGAUUGUUAGUUAAUUUUUUCUCAUUUAAUUUAAAUUUAUGUUUAAUGUUAAAUUAAUUAUGUAACAAGUUACGAUAGCUAGAGUACUAUUUCUAGAGAUAAAUAAAAUUGGUUAUGGUGAUAGUAUAUCCGAACUGACGAUCGACUCUAUUAUUAAUUAAUUAAGUAUGAUCUAAACUACUUAAUUUUUUUAGAAUUAAAUCAAAUUCUAUAAUUUUACAAUAUAUUUGUUUAGUGAUCAAGCGUGUCAAAUUCAUCUAUAUUUGCUAAUUAUAAAACUUAUAAAACUUUGAACAACAAAGAGACUAAGCAAAUAAUACCCAAAAAUUAUGAAAUUUAAAGCAUAAAAAAUUCAAAUACUCUAGACUAUAUUUAAUAGUGUCUAUUAUUUUUAACUGUAUAUGUACCGUUUAUUUAAAUUUGAGUGACAUAGACAUGGGAUAAUAUAUCUAUAUAUAUCCAUUUUCUUUAACAAAAAAAAGAAAUUUAGGCUACAACUAGGAUCAGGAGCAUGAAAUUAAUAUAUCUAAACUAGGUUUGAUCAUGUCACAAAUCUACAUGUGGAGUGAUCACUAAAUGGCUUGAUCCUAGCUAAAACACAUAGAUUAGGUCGACCCAUAGGCUCAUAACCCUUUUGGGGCCACUCCCAUGAUUCAUGAACAAAUUAACCAGUACAAUUUUAUUGUUCAUUGAAGGAAAAAAAGAAAAGAAAAGAAAAAGAAAAUCAAAAGAAAAGGAAAAAGUACUUUGUGUAGGGGUCUAGAGUACUACAGUACUACUACCCCACCAAAAGAAGUGCACAUGUAGUCAAGAGAGACACAUUUGAAAGAACAUAUAAAUGCUAAGCUUUUGGGUUGGUUUCUCCACUCUCUCUCUAGGAUUUAAACACAAAGCUCCCUUCAUCAUGGCCUAUUUAUUAACAGUUACACCACUGUUUCCCAAGAAGUAUAAGUCAAACAUAAAGAGAGCCCACCCUUUUACCUAUCUUUUUUUUACCCCCCCCCUACUUGGCUCAACUCAAUCCUUGGUUUCUUUUAAUUCCACCUCUUUAUCUCUCCUCUUUAGUUAUUUUAGUUGCGUGAGUUGGGAGGUAAAAGAUGUGAUCUUUCCUUUGAUGCAGUGUUAAUUAAUUAACACAAGUCACCACAGCUGCUGCACAAAAGAAUACUGCAGUGACUUCAAGAUUGCAGGAGAAGCUAUUCAUUGCCUGGAACAGAGCCACAGUGGGCCAGUUUAGUUGAUUUGGAAAGGUAAAAAUGUACAGAACUUACCUUAACUACUAUAUACGAAUUAUUUUGAUUUAUUUAUCCAAUAUUUUAAAAUUUUGAUUUUACUAUAUAAUCUUUCAACUUGUUUGAAUCGAGUCUGCCAGUGUCGACAUUUUGACUUUAAAAUUUGAAUGCGUCAAUUCUCGUAGCUAUAUAUAAAUUCAUUAAAGUAAGUAAUAAGCUAACUUAAAUUUUAAAAUCAAAUUACCGCUGAUCGACUCAAAUUAAACAAAUUGAAAGUUUGGAUAGUAAAUUCAAAGAUUGAAAGAUUUGAUAGUCAAGUCAAAAUGGCCCGUAGUUCAAAUAAAUUGCCUACAUUUUUACCUUUCUAAAACUCGAUUAAUUCAAUUUUUUUAAAAAUAAUAUAUAUUUAAGGCAUUCAAUAUGAUCUAAAAUUUUAGUACCAUUGAUUUAAAAAUUGCAUGAUGCCCUCUUAAUUAAGUGUAUAUAUAUAUAAGUAACAUGAUUUCGAAACUAAGAGCUUGUGUGGCUCCAUUUUUGCUUUUUGUUUUCAAUCAAAUUGUCUGCAAUAUAAUACAUUAUUUGAAGAUCAAACAAAUUAAUUCGGAACUUCUGCUUAGCAUGUAGAAGAAUUAUGAUUGUCAAUGUUGGUUGUUCUAAUUUGGAGUUUUAAUUGGAUUUUUCUACCCAAUAAAAAAUAAUCAGCAUAGUAUUUUUCAUAAGAGAAUGUUACUUGUACACCCAAAAAGGUUUAAAGGUCGACGUGACAAGAUUAGUGUGAAAAAAUUAACCCUUAGAUAAUUAGGAGUAACAUGUUCACUAAAUUUUUAGCUAAGUAGAAUCAUUUUUUUCUUAAUUAUAUAUGGUACCUCUGAAACAAACACUUUAUUAAAUAGUACAAAAGUUUACAGCAAAAUCGAACACAAUCUUAUAAUUACCAAUGACCAUAUUUACUGUGUUAUAUUUAAGUUUGAAGAGCAUAAUUAAGGUUGAAAAUUAUGGAGGAUACACAUUUUUUUGGUUCUUUGGCUGAUGUGGUGGACCAGGACCAGCCAAUAACUCCUCCUCCAAAGACACACUCACCAUCCAUUUUCCUGCUAUAAUAUUUCUCCUCCUCUUAGCUCCUUGAUGUUGCUUCUGUCUCUCUAUUGCAUGCUGGGGUAGUGGCCACUGAUGUGUUUAGUAUUUCCCAAUAGCAGGGGUGAGACACAGAAAUGGGAGUGUCAGUCUCUUCCUUUUAUCUCAUGGCAUUUACUCCUCACUGUGCCCUUCUCUCCCUUUCCUAUAUAUAUGGCCCCUGCUUCACCUCUUCCACAUGCACCACCAUACUCCUCUUGAUGUAUAAUUCCUUAAGCAUCCCCUUUAUGUUACUUACAAUUAGAGCUGUGUUUAACAUGCCCAAGCUUAGUAACAUGGCUUCUUCCACUAGCAUUUCUAAAAGCAGCAGCUUGAGAUGCAGUGCUGCUGCUGCUGCUGCUGCUGCUGCUUUACAAUCACUUCUUCUUGAGUUUGGGUGGUUCAAGAAGAGAAGAAUGAAAAAACAUGUACUACUUUUCUCGCUACGGUGAUUGAUGAUGGCGCUAUCCUUGCUGAGCUACUUCUUUCUCUCUGUUGCUCCUCUAAACUUUUUUUUUUUUUUAUUGCAAGGUAUAAGAUUAUUUUCUUGACCUUGCAAGACUUUUUCUGACGGAGGCUACGCUCAUGGCCGCUCUCUACUCCGUUCGGAUUUGUGAGCGUUAGCUUCACUCUUGUCAAUCCUCCCAUAUUUCUUCCUUCUGUCUAUCCCUCUUGAGCUUGUAUUUCUUUUAUCAAUCAAGUAUAAUUUCUGUAUUUUUAUUUGAAUUUUGUAACUGUUGGCAUCUGGAUUAAACUGAAGGAUCUUAUUGCUAUGUACUUUCUUCUUCUUUUUUUUUUUAAUUUCGUGUGAAAUGAUUAUCAUUAUAUUUAAUUUAUACAUCAUUUUCUGCUGUAUGGUUAAUUGGUUUCAUAUUUGAUGGCUAAAAAUUAAUCUCACAGUGUGCAUGUUGUCAUCUGUUGUUUACUGGUUUAAUUUUUUUGAAACUUUGGCUUCUCUCAGUUGCACACAUGAUAUGUGCAUACACCUCUCCCUAUUGAAGGAAGGAAAUUAACAAGACCAAAUGGUCUAAUUAAUUAUCUCCUAAUUGUAAGAAAGAUAAUUAAAGCAGUAUAUAUAUAUAGAUAUGCAGCACUGAUAAACUCAAAAGAUUAUGAUUCUGAAAAUUGAUUUUAAUUAUAAUUUGUAUAAAAACUCUAGCUAGGGAAGUAUUUGAAAUGAUUCAUAUAUAUAUAUAGCUAAAAGGGUCCCAUGUAUAUAUAUUCCUAGCUAUAUAUAUAAAUCUUGAUGUUGCAAUGGUAUAUAUUAUUCUCCAUGCAUGUGAACCCUCACAUGUGAAGUUAUGAUAAAUCCUAUAGAACAACAGGAGAGCAGCUGCAGUGGAGCUCAGCAUGAUCCUGUCAAAGGAACUAGUGAGAAGUGAGAACUUAUUCAAGUUUUAAUUAAGAAAAAAAAAAAAAAGAACUUGUUCAAGUUGGGGCCCCAAGUGUGUUAUUCUCUAUCACAGCAUAAUAAUCCCAUAGUAAUUUUCUUUUUCUUUGAAAAAACUGUACUCCUAUAUAUGUUUACAAUUAAAAGAAAAUUUAUCUAUUAAGUGUUCUAAAUACAUGAUAAUUAUUUAUCAUCUGUUAAUGGAGGCAGCUGAAACAGGUUGGAUUUGGGUUUGAGAUUUCGCUAUUUGGCACUAUUCGACUCGGAUUCAAAUUCAAAUAUUGGUUUGGAAAAUUUUUAAAAUACAAAUUGGGAUAUCAAUCGAUCUUAAACUAUUUUUAUAUAAAUUAUACGUAGAGUAUUUAACCACUAAUUAACUUUAAGUUUGCUAUUGUUAAUUCUUCAAGAUAUCUCAAUUAGUUUUAUUGGUUGUUAAUUUGAUCCUACAAGUUUUAAUAUAUCUAUUGAUAUAUAUGCAAAUUUACAACUUUUGUUUUUUUCUUUAUUUUAUAUGUUGCUUUUGAUUCUUUAAUGUAUUCCUUAAUAGAUCAUCCAACUUGUAAAUGUAUCCUUCAGCGUUUCUCCAUCUAUUUUCAUAUCAUUUUUACAUAAAUCCUACGCACAACUGCUUCAUGAAACUUUUCAAAAAUAGUUAAAUAGAAAACUCUAGUAUAUAAAAAUACUUACUCAAUCACUCACCUCGGAUGCAAUAAUCCUGACCUAAUUUGAAUGGAUAGAAGAUAAAAAUGGUCGGAAAUAAAAUUUCAUUAAAACAGCCCCCCUCCCAAAAAAAAAAAAAAGGAUGAAGAUGAUUCAAUUCGGAUACAAAAAUGAUGUAAUUUGGGCUCGAAAACGACAUCGAAUAAAGUAAUAAUUUGGAUCCAAUUUUUCUAUAUAUCUAAUACCAGAUCAUCUAUAUUAUUAUACAGGUUAAGUGUUAAAGAUAUGCCUUUUUUUUAUUGAUUUGUUCCAUACACCGGGUCUAUGGAAUAAUAGACAGGAUCUCAUAAGAAUUUUUUAUUGGUGGAUCCUAAUUUAAGUUGAAAUCCUAGGUGGACUAGGAUAAGUUUCCGUAUAAGACUCUUGUAUUCGAUGAUCAUAUUGAAUUAGAGUAGAAUUGAGCUAAUGCGUAUAUCUAUAUAGGUGCAUGUACGAGGACCGUACGGUGUAAGAGAGUGGAGGCCAAAAUUAAUUAGCAAUAUAAUUAAAGUGGCCGGUUCUUUUUUAUUGAUUUGGUCCAUCCAUACGAUUGGAGAAGGUGUCGCGGCCUUGCAUGGGACGGAUUGAAGUCGGCGGCGGAGCGGCUGCUUUCGACCAAAUUGUCGGAGCGGUUCGGAUUCUUCGAAGCAACGGCAUAAAGGAUUUUGGUUAAAGUUUUUAUACUUCUCUAAUUUAGUUUUCUCGAUUUUACGAAAAGUUUUUUCGGUAUUUUUUUGGAGUUUUCGUUGGAACAAGAGAAAGGUGGGAUUGACCAUAAGGCUCUUGAUUUUUUUAUCCGGAGAAGACAUAAGGUGUAAUCUCGUACUUCUAUUUCUUCAUAUAGUGGAAUACAUCUCUCUCGCUCUUUCCGUGGACGUAGGCAAUUGUCGAACCACGUAAAUCUUGGUACUAAAUAACUAUGGCAAAAACUUUACAUGUUGCAAGUACUCUAAUAAGGUACUACAAUAAGAUCACUGUUUUGGUACAUAAUGAAUACUAUACAUGAUUGUGAUGUUCAUAUGUUAGAGUAUUUGUACCUGCGUAUGUUUGUGAUGUUAAUAGCUUGACUGAGGAGUACUUGCUGCAUUUUGCAUAGAAUGAUACUAUGGUUGGGCAUGUUGACUAGUCCAAGAGAGUACGUUCAUACUCCAGCCGAAACCAAGACUUGAGAUCGAACCUGACCAGAUCGUUUCCUCUCCGGUCUGUGCCUAAGUCCGAGUCAGAUCAGAUCAGAUCAGGCCUACAGAUAGUGGGACAAAAACGGCAGACCCAUCGGAGUGUGACUCGUGUGUGCGUUGUAUUUUCUUUGCCAACAGGGCUUGGUAGUUGGUACCCGAGACUCAAGUUCGAAUCCUAGUUGAUUCACAUUUCCAGCUAAGUUUAUUUCUAAAUGAAAUAAACAAAGCGGAUAGCAUGCUAUAUUUCUCACAAAAAAAAAAUGAUUCAAAUUAGUUCACUUAAAUGUUAGAAAUUUUGUAUAAAAUUAGUGACUAGUUUGAUGUUAGAGUUUUUGAAAAAAUGUGACUCAACCAAUUAAGUUAAGUUGAAAUUUUCGUUGAGUUCAGAUAAUUUUUGUAAUCGGUAUAAGCAAUUUUUAAACGGCCCCAUAUCUUUUCGUUCGAGUAUUCAAUUUUAGCAUACAACCUGAAUUUCGAAAAUAUUUUUUGAUAUCUACGCAUUGAAUGCAAAGCCAUUCCGAUUGAAAUUGGGACCCAAAUUCAAUUAUUUCGGCCCCCGGUUUUGCAUUUUUAUGUUACUUUUAAAAAUUUCUAUAUAUUUUUUUUAUUUUUAGUCCGAUUAUUUGAUUAUUUCUUAUCUGAUUAGGUUUAGAGAUAUAUUAAAAUUUAUUAUCUUUAUCUAGUAGGAGUCGGGUACCGUCUAUAUAAAUGGGGCGAGAGAUCCACCAAUCUGAAUCCAUUUGCAUCCCUAUAAAUUACUGAAAAAGUUGGGGAUAUCAUUUUAGGCGACAAAUAUUUUUGGGCCUAUUUGGAUUUUUUCCCAACUUGAGUCGGGUUGGCCCAAAACCCGAAACAAGUAAGUAGGUUUUGUCUACAUGUAGGCCUAUAUGUACACUUGCAUGCAAAAGAAUAAGAUACAAAAUGGGAUAGUGCUUAAUUUAUAUCCAUAUUUCUAUUUUCAAAUCGGAUCAAAAUACAAAUUCAGAUAUUGAUUAAAAACUAAGUUUAAAAUUGAUAUAUUUUAAAAACGGAUUCGGAUACAGGUCGGACAUUAAACAAAUACAAUCACGAAUCGGAUAUUUAAUGAAUAUGUUGAAUCAAAAGCUAAAAGAUUUAUUUACGAGUAUAUAUAUCUAAGCUUUCUAAAAUUUAUAUAAAAUUAGGAAAUAUUACAAAAAUGAGAAUUCUAUAAGAAAAUAAUAUUGAGUAGGGACUUAGAGAAAUGCUACAUAUUUAAAAUAUAUUAAAAUCAGUUUUGAAUUCAGAUAAUCUAAAUUGGAAGAAGAAUAGUCAACCUGAAUUUGAAUUCGAUCGAAAUAUUGUCGAACUCGAGAUUCGAAUCCGAAUUCUAGUUGGAUAGUGAAAUUUAAAUUCAAAUCGGAUAAUUGUCGGAUUUGGAAGUGGAUCGAAAAUUAGGAAUUUGAUUUUUGAUUCUGAAAGCUUUUGGCAUUUAUAAUUUGGUAUGAUCAAAUUUUCCACAUGCUAGAUAAUUUACCUUAUUCUAAAAACUAUGACUUAAAUGCCGAAUGUAUACUUAUUGUAAAUAUUUGAUCACACACCUUAUUUCAUUAUAGGUUUUUUAAGUAAAUUGAAGAGAUGCGUCAAAUAAAAUAUUCGUACAUUCAAAUAAAACCGACGUCAAACUAAGAUAUUGAAUGAUAACGUCUUAUGUACAAAAUUUUUCUGAUAUAUAAUUGAAAGUUAUAAGAUUAAUUUAUGCUACAAAAGGAUCUUGGUAUUUAUUAUUUAGUAAAAUAGUAUAUUUCACCUGCAAUGUGAGAUUUUUUUUAUUUCGAAAAAUUGAUUUGAAGGUCGAAUAUAGUAUCAAUUUUAGAUAUUUGAUCAUAAUCUUAUCUACUAAAUACUACAUGCUUACUGAGUAAAAAUCGAAAUGAUACACUGUAUAUGAUGUUCAUGGAUCCGAAUAGGAUUGAAAUAAGCUCAGCCCCGUAUCCAUUUAGUUAUUUUGGGCCCGGGUCGGUCUUGGAUUGGGCCGUUUCCAACCCGAUCCGAUUCCACCCGGUAAAGUUGCGCUACGUAACUGUGAAACCCUAAUUCCAGCACACGUGCUAAUCACGUGAUCUCCGCUUCGAGUAUAAACCUCUGUAGCCGCUUUACCCUCGACCCUUGUCUCGCUCGUUCCCUCUCUCUCUCUCUCUCUCCAAAUCUAGCGAACGAAACCCUAGAAGCCGAAGAAGAGGAAGGUGCGAUCUCGAUCUCGAAACCCUAACCUUUUCGAUUCCGCUUAUUCGAUUUGAAAUGAUUGGGAUAAAUUGGAAUCAUUUGCGCUCGAUUUGAUUUGUUUCGCUUUCGAUUAGCUAGGGUUUUGUUUGCAUCCGUAGAGUUCUCAAAAUAUGACCUGAAAAUAGUACUCGUUAUGCGAUAUGAUGCAAAUUAGGGUUUCCUCUUAGAGAACGGUGUUAUUUUUACGCUUAGAUUGGUGCUUUUUCUUGAUCCAGUUGUGUCUAUGAGUCUGUAUAUAUACGUAUAUCUCUAAUUUAUGCUCUAUUUCGGAUUUUUAGAUCUUUGUUGCUGCUAGUAGAAUCAAGGCGACAAGAACCAUGGCUUCUCGUUUCUGGUUGCAGGUGCGUUCGACUUCAAACCCUAAUCCUAGUGUUAUGUUAAUUGAGAAAAAUGUUGCUCAUGGACCUGGUCUACCCUGCCAUCUUUGGGCUGGGCCAGUUCGAACGAGGCAUGAUGCCCUGUAGGGGAUCGAUUCGCUUAUCUGCUCUAAUUCUGCAAAAAAUAUAAUAUUUCUUACAAUUUUUUAGGGCGAUAGCGAUUCUGAGGAGGAGGAGGAGACCAGUGAGUAUGAGAACGGCAGUGACGAGGAGCGUGCACCGGCUGGAGAGGCGACACGGGAGACUGCCCUUAACCGCUACCUCGACCAUGGCGCGAACCUCAGCGAUGACUCUGAUGAGGGUCCUCGUGUGGUCAAGUCGGCCCGCGACAAGCGCUUUGACGAGAUGGCGGCCACCGUGGACCAGAUGCGCAAUGCCAUGAAGAUCAAUGACUGGGUCAGCCUCCAGGAGAGCUUUGAGAAGCUCAACAAGCAGCUUGAGAAGGUUGUUAGGGUUACGGAAUCGGAAAAGGUUCCUAAUCUUUAUAUUAAGGCUCUUGUGAUGCUCGAGGACUUCUUGGCCCAGGCUUUGGCCAAUAAGGAUGCUAAGAAGAAGAUGAGCAGCAGCAAUGCAAAAGCACUUAACUCGAUGAAGCAGAAGCUGAAGAAGAACAAUAAGCAGUAUGAGGAACUGAUUAUAAAGUACAGGGAGAAGCCAGAGAGUGAGGAUGAGGGAGAGGAAGCUGAGGAGGAGGAAGAGGAGGAUGAGUCGGAAUCGGAGGUCGAAGAAGAUCCAUCAAAGAUUGCAAUGUCUGAUGGGGAGGAUGAAGAUAAAGGUGAGGAGGAUAGCGAUGAAGAAACUGGCGGGGGGUGGGAGAAGAAAAUGAGCAAGAAGGAUAGGCUCAUGGACAAGCAGUUUAUGAAGGACCCAAGUGAGAUUACUUGGGAUAUUGUUGAUAAGAAGCUUAAGGAGAUUGUGGCGGCAAGGGGUAGGAAGGGGACAGGGAGGGUGGAGCAGGUUGAGCAGCUUACGUUCUUGACCCGGGUGGCAAAAACACCUGCCCAGAAGCUUGAGAUCCUCUUCAGUGUGAUCUCAGCUCAGUUUGAUGUGAAUCCUAGCUUGCUCGGGCACAUGCCAGUCAACGUGUGGAAGAAGUGUGUUGGCAACAUGCUCCUUGUGCUCGAUAUUCUUGAGCAGUACCCUAAUAUCGUGGUUGAUGACUCGGUUGAGCCUGAUGAGAACGAGACCCAGAAGGGCGCAGACUAUAAGGGAACUAUCCGAGUGUGGGGAAAUCUUGUUGCCUUUCUUGAGCGUCUUGAUGCUGAAUUCUUCAAGAGCUUGCAAUGCACUGAUCCACAUACCAGGGAAUAUGUUGAGAGGCUGAGGGAUGAGCCCUUGUUUAUGGUCAUAGCGCAAAAUGUUCAGGACUACCUCGAAAGAGUCGGGGAUUUCAGGGCAGCUUCCAAAGUUGCCUUGCGCCGUGUUGAGCUAAUUUAUUAUAAGCCUCAAGAAGUUUACGAUGCGAUGAGGAAGUUGGCAGAGCAGGGUACAGAUGGGAAUGAAGGUGGUGGGGAGGAUGGAGAUGAAGAGACUGAGCGUCAAGCAGCUGAGGAAAAUAGGGGCCCCCCACCAUUUGUUGUGGUUCCUGAGCUUGUGCCUAGGAGGCCUACAUUUCCAGAGAGUAGCAGGGCCUUGAUGGAUGCCUUGGUGUCACAAAUUUAUAGGUAUGGGGAUGAGAGGACCAAGGCCAGGGCGAUGCUUUGUGAUAUUUACCACCAUGCCAUCUCUGACGAAUUUCCUAUUGCUCGUGAUUUGCUUUUGAUGAGUCACCUGCAGGAUGGGAUUCAACUCAUGGACAUAUCCUCACAGAUACUAUUCAAUAGAGCAAUGGCACAACUUGGCUUGUGCGCUUUUAGGGCCGGUUUGAUUGUAGAAGCUCAUGGCUGCCUGUCUGACUUGUACACGACAGGAAAAGUGAAGGAAUUACUCGCCCAAGGUUUAACCCAAAAUCGUUACCAUGAUAAGACACCUGAGCAGGUAAGAAAUAUUUCUUUCGUUUCUGCAAUUUGAGAAUUGCAUGCUAUUUUAUAUCCUGCCUUAAUAUAUAAAGUGUGUGUUGCUUAUCUCUGAAGCAUGUCUGCUUAUCUUACUCUAAUUGCCACUUGAGUUUUAGCAGCCCUUGGAGUGUAGUUUUAAAUUACAUUACAAGUAAUAUUAGUGGGUAACUUUUUCAAUGUUGUGUUAGUAGUCUUCAAUUUCGUUAUAUUGUUUUCUUGCUGUAAUUCUUUUCUGCGAUCUUGCAAUAAUUAUGCAUACCAUUUUCUCCCAUCAGUCAGGGCAAUGAAAUGAUUUGUUGUCUACAUGACCUACUAGGAAAAACCAGUACACUAAGGAGAUGAUAAUAGGAAAUAUGAUCUGAAUUGUAAUGCAUUAAUUUAUGUCUGCUUUAAGAUUCCUUGGAAUGAUAUAUUAUGGCUUGUAGUAUCCUCGUUGAUGAUGGUCGCUAGCAUUGGUGAAUAAGUUGCAUCCUUCUUAAAAUCAAACACUUAUCAAAAGAAUUUUGGCUGUUAGUCUAAGAAUGUUUGAAGGGCUUGAAACUGAUAAUGGCAUUUUCAUCUUGCUAUUCCUUACCCUUCCCAAGGAUAUACAUGGGAAUCUGGAAAAACUGAACACACCUUUUCCCUGAUAAUUUGCUACAUUGAGAACUAAAUAUUCAUCUACGCGUCCUAGUAGAGAGAGGAUACAGGGAAUAGAAAUGUAUCAUUCCACUUCUCCCAUGUUUCUAAACCAGGCAAAUUGUUUUAAUAUUGAAUGGCCGAGCGUGAUUUGGUCCCAUAUUGUCUUGGUGUUCUUGAUUGAUAAAAAAUUAUUGGCAUGUUCCCAUUAUCAAUAUGUGGGUUCAUCAAUAUGUGGGUCCUUAUCUGAAAGCUCAACUAGUGGCUCAUUUUUCGUUUCUUGGAAUAAAUGUCGCUUAUUUAUAUGGAUGUCUUUAGUGUUAUCAGUUGGAAAUUUAAUGGAAGAUUGGGAAAGCUAAUCAGAUCCUUACACUCUAGGAUAUAGAAGGUAACUAACCAUAAGGCUGGUUCACUCCCACCGAGCUAAUGGGGAAUGUUGUAGUCAUGGAUACUGCCUUCUAAUCUUAUGAAAAUAUGACUCACUUAUAGGUGGGUGUGCCUGUAUGAGCCUUGAGAGUUAUCAAAGGAGCUCAAGGCAUCUGGCUAAUUGCUUGCUGCUGCAUUCAUUUGUUUUAUGACAUUCUCAUUCAUUCCGUAUUGCAUUACUCUAGAAUUUGCCAUAUGGCAUAAUAUAUACUAGUUCUCUGGGCCGACUUCUUAUAUUGGACCAACAUUUCCCCCUUCUCUCAUCUUAUCUAAGAAGUUCUAAUUAGUCUACUGUCUUCUUAAAUGUCUCAUAUGAUAAAAUUUGUUGGUUAUAUAGCAGCAAUUAAGCCAUUAGUUUCUUUGAUUUAGACAUGUGAAUCCAGUCACUCGACUCGGCAUAAAUCAACACAUUGGACUGGACAAUGCCUUACAUUUGGCAUUUAAAAAUGAAGGAAGCAUGUUUUCUUUUCUUCUUUUUUCAUUCUUUGUUGUUUUCUAAUAUGACUUUAUGUUGAAAACCAAUGACCUUUUGCGAAAGAGGUAUCCUAGAACAUCGAAGGAAUGUUAUGAAUUUGUUAUCUUUUCUGCAGUUGUUCACUUUUUCAGUUUUAUCUGACUACUGCAAGUUUUGGCCUUUUCUUUUUGCUGUUGAAGUCGAAAAUUAAAAUGUAAAUAAAACUGGUGUAACUAAACACGCAGCCAUGUCUGAAACCAAAGUCAGUACUGAUGCUUUGAAUGUUGAUAUUUUCGAAUUGCUAUUUGUUGUAGUAUGUCACUUGGUGAAGCAAUAUUAAGUCCAAUUUUUAUUCUUUUGCUUCUCAUUCCAGCAUGUUUCUGUUAGGUCAUUUUGUAUAUAACUGUUUACUGCACUUCUGUUUAAUAACUGUUUAUGAAGAAAGGAGGUUAGGGAUAUGUAGGAGUUGGUGCUUCGCUCGUAAUCUAGAGUAGUCAUUACAGGAAUAAUUGUCAUUGAGGGCCAUAGGCUUUGCCACCUCUUAUUUAAACCAUGUGGCAAUUUGUUUGCUCAGAGUAAACCCUUAUUUACUUAUAUAUUCAAUUUAAUGUUCUGAUGGUGAAAUUCUAUUUAGAUCUUAUAUGUAUUAUCUACUCCAUAUGCAUUGAUUCUGGUGGCACUCUUUAGUAAUUUUUUACUUCAUAGUUUAGAGCUUUCCCUCUGGAAUCUGUGAAUGUUUUGCUAGUGAUUCGCUGGAGUAUGUGAAUGCUUUACUAAUGAUUUUAACGUUUGUCCCUGAUUGCAGUUUAACCUUAUAAGUUUAAUAUGUGAUAGAUCCAAGCAAAGUACGGAAAGUGAAAAUGGAAUACCACUUUCUUCAUGUGAAACUUUGAAGGGGUCAUUGAAAUUUGUUAGAAGUUGGUGACCUCUAUGCGAUACUUUUUAAUUACAGCUGCAGAUUAUAUGCUGAUUUUUCUGUUGUCGGCAGGAAAAAGCUGAGAGGAGAAGGCAGAUGCCCUACCACAUGCACAUAAACCUUGAGCUCCUUGAGGCCACCCACCUGAUAUGCGCGAUGCUGAUCGAGGUCCCAGUUAUGGCCUCCAACGCGUACGACAAGCGCAAGCCCAUGAGCAAGACAUUCCGCCGUCUCCUUGAAAUAAGUGAGCGGCAGACCUUUGUGGGCCCACCCGAGAACGUCCGCGAUCACGUCAUGGCCGCCACCCGCGCCCUUCGCAAGGGCGACUACCAGAAAGCCUUCGACGUAAUCAAUUCCCUGGACAUCUGGAAGCUUCUCAGAAACAAGGAGAGCAUCCUCGAAAUGCUCAAGCUUAAGAUCAAGGAAGAAGCCCUUCGAACCUAUCUCUUUUCUUACUCUUCGAGCUACGACUCCUUGAGCUUAGACCAGCUCGCGGCCAUGUUCGAUUUAUCCGAGGUCCAGGCCCACAGCCUGGCCAGCAAGAUGAUGAUCUCGGAGGAGCUACAUGCGAGCUGGCACCAGCCAACAAAGUGCAUCGUUUUCCACAAUGUGGAGCAUACUAGGCUACAAGGGCUUUUAUUCCAGAUGGCCGAUAAGCUCAACAUACUUGUGGAGAGCAAUGAGAGGGCCUACGAGGCGAGGACCGGCGGAACCCUAGAUGGGUUGCCGGGGAGGCGGAGAGGGGACAAUCAAGAGUCGGGGGGGAUGGGGAGAUGGCAGGACGGCGCCUCGGGUUCACAAGGCAGGCAGUACGGAGGGUACGGGAGCGUGCGGUACCAGGAUGCCUACGGGAGCUCCGGGAGGGCUCCCUACAGUUCGGCGGCGUCGUCCGUGAGGGGUUCGCAGGGUGAGAGCUCGGCGCGCAUGGUGAAUCUCAACAAGGCUGGUAGGGUUUAGGGAGCGGAAAAGAAUUCAAGAAGUAACAAAAGUUAUUCCAAAGUUCCGGUUUUUUUUUUAGUAUUAUUAUUGAAAUUGAGAGCAGCUCUUCUACAGUUUUGAGAUAUUUUGCUUGAUUUUGUUAGCUCUUGGAAUAUAUGUUUUGCCGAGUACUUCGCAGAACUUUAUUGUGUUUUUAUUAUUGUAUGGACUAUUAUUAUAUUAUGGGAUUGUGGGAGGACCUUGUGUUGUUUACUUUACCCUCAUAUUUUUAAACAUAUCUACAUAAUUUAAGAUUUUUACAGGAACAAUUUAUGAAAUUUUUAUUUUACAGAAAUAUUUCUGUAAUUUAUUAUAUUUGUAGGAACGUAUAUGCAAAUAAUCCUUUUAUUUAAAUUGCAUCUGUGAGAUUAGUUAUGUUCAUGAAUUUUUUAGACGAAGCUUCAGCACGAAUCUAAAAGGAGGGUCUUGGGAGAAACAAUAAUAUAUUUAUUUAAUCAUGUGUAGGGAUGGUGCAUUUUAUUCAACCAAAAAAACUAGGGAAUGCAGAUUUUUUUCGUCGUCAAUUUUCCCUGCAAGAGAGUUUCUAGAGUGGCGUCGCCGCAAAGAAAAAAUAAAGUACAAAGGACAUAAAACAUGAUUUUUUAAAUUAUUUUGUGGAAAAAUUUGUAUGCAAUGAGGGAGCAGAAUUUGUAUACAAAAGAAAAAGCUUUUGAUACAAUAAGAAGGUAGAAACGUGCAAAAUUUAUCUAUGCUAUGGACUAUCUUAAUUUGAUUAUCUAAUUUUUUAAAAUUUUAAUUUUAUUAUUUAAUUUUAUAAUUUAUUUAAUUUGAUUCCGUCAACAACACCUUAGCUUCAAAAUUUGAAUGCGUAGUUUAUUUUUGAAGAUUAAAUUAAUAUAAUUCAUGCAAUUCUCACAACUAUAGAUUUUUUUUAGUAAUUAGUUUAAAUUUUAAAAUUUAAGUAAUCGUUCACUUGUUCAAAUCAAAUAAAUUAAAUAAUUAAAUGAUAAAAUACUAUAUAAUUUACAUAAGUACUGUAUAUUUUUAUAAAAUAAAAAUCAGCAAUAUUUCUUAUGAUAUAUUUUUNAGGACAUAAAACAUGAUUUUUUAAAUUAUUUUGUGGAAAAAUUUGUAUGCAAUGAGGGAGCAGAAUUUGUAUACAAAAGAAAAAGCUUUUGAUACAAUAAGAAGGUAGAAACGUGCAAAAUUUAUCUAUGCUAUGGACUAUCUUAAUUUGAUUAUCUAAUUUUUUAAAAUUUUAAUUUUAUUAUUUAAUUUUAUAAUUUAUUUAAUUUGAUUCCGUCAACAACACCUUAGCUUCAAAAUUUGAAUGCGUAGUUUAUUUUUGAAGAUUAAAUUAAUAUAAUUCAUGCAAUUCUCACAACUAUAGAUUUUUUUUAGUAAUUAGUUUAAAUUUUAAAAUUUAGUUCACUUGUUCAAAUCAAAUAAAUUAAAUAAUUAAAUAAUUAAAUAAUAUAUAGUUUACAUAAGUACUGUAUAUUUUUAUAAAAUAAAAAUCAGCAAUAUUUCUUAUGAUAUCUUUUUUCCGCUUGCGUACAAAGAGGGUUUGACUUUUUCACACGCUGAGGGUUUGACUUUCUCACACCACAACUAUCCUCUUACCCCACCCCACUAAAUAACCAAGAAAGAGGAGAAGAGACUAAUCCACUAAUGUGGUUUUUUAUUUUAUUCGUUAUUAUAAUUAUAGUAGUUAUAUUUAACAAAGUCAAUUGGUCAAUUCCACGAGGAAGCAUCUUCCUAAACGUCUCCUAAACCAUUCCAAUUAAUGUUGGGUAAACUGUAAGUAUAGGUCCUAUAUUGUGCCAAUAUCGUGACUUGUAUUAGUACACUUUUUAUUUAAAUACAUUUGUUUCUAAAUCUUUAUAUAUAUAAAUAUACUACAACCGCUAGCGUAAACAGAAAAUUUUUUUUUUGAAUAUUCUUAUAUAAAGUAACAAUUUUGUUCUCUUUUCGCAAAUUAACGAAUUUAGAUCUCAUUUGGAAUUGUAGAGAGAUUGCGUUACGUACGGUGAGAAAAUGCAAUAGAAAAAUAAAUAUGUACUUUCAGAUGUAAUGUCGCAUUCUGCGUUUCGUAAUCAGUCAAUUUUGCAGUCGCCCCGACUCCAUUUUACCUAUUAGCGUUGGAUGGGCCUUAAUAUCAAACAGACUCUUAGUUCUGUUUACUUCUAAUGUGGGUUAAAAAUUAACAAUUUUCUUUACCGAUGAGAGACAAAAGUACAGUAAUAUAUAUAUGUAUAAACUUAAAAACUAAAGUAUUUAAGUGAAAAGUAUAGGAACCAAGUUGCAAUAUCAGGACAGUUUUAGGGACUUUACAUACAUUUAUACUCUAUACUAUAUGUAAGCUUCCCCUGUUGGAGAGUUACUAGCUAGCUACACUUCCUUUUGUAAAUCAACAUGACUCAAGCAAGAGCACAACUAAGCAUUCUAGGCAUUCUAAAGGAAGCCCUCCUAACCAUACUUAGAAAUGCAAAGAUUCUAUCAUCCUUUAUUCUUGUUAUUCUUCUCCCCCUCAAACUUUUGUGUAGGAUUCCUAAUCUCAAUCCACCUAUAGUUUUACAUGUGGCCUCAAUUGCACCCUACCUACUCUCGCGUCUCGCUUUAUCCGAUUCGCCGGUCACCAUAAACAUCUUUCCUACCGCGACGAUCGUCUCGCACAUCACGACGUCGAUCGCCGUCUACCUCUCAACCAUGUGCUACAAUGGAAGCCACCUUGGGCUCAAUGAGUUGUUCUCCAAGUUUAAGAGGACAUGGAGGGGCCUUUUGGCAACAAUAGUUGUUUGUGAGCUCUUCACCUGGGUGUACGUCAUCCUCUUCUCGGGUUUUUGUCUUAUCUUUGUGAUGUUAAAUAUAACCAACUUGUGGAUUUUGUUGAUUGUUUUGGUUUUAUUGUUUCUUUUUCUUCUAGGUUUUGUCAUGUCUGUGUAUGUUUCAAUGGUAGGAAAGUUGUGUCUUGUGGUGUCAAUAGUAGAGGAGAAGUGCUAUGGUUGGGGUGCAAUGAGAAGGGCUACUGGGCUUCUUGUAACAAGAAAGUUACAAGGCAUUGUCCUCAUGGCCCUCAUGAUGGGCGUCGGUGAGAUAAUCGCGACGGCGUUUGCUCGCUUGAAGGGCGAUGGUGAUCGACAGCAGCAGGUGUCGGCAUCGAUCGUGGUCGGGGAUGUUCUGAAAAUCGUCGUCGACGAGGUGUUUACUAUGCUUUGUAGCCUUGUGUUAACAGUGUUCUACUACGAGUGCAAGAGGAGCAAAGGAGGGGGGAAAAGUGGAGAAGGGUUCCAAGAGUUGUUGCCCUUCACUUCCCAUGUUGAUGAUGCUAUUGCAUGAUUUGGUUUUCGCAAUUUGAUAAUAAUGGUGUUGGUGUGUUGAAUAAGCUAGAAUGUAUAUUACACUACGAAAAUUUCGCAAUGAAAAAAAUGUCAGAAUCCAUUUCAGACGAUAAUAUCUUGAAAAGCUAAUUUGAUUCUGUAAAUGUACUGUAAAAGAAGAGGUAUCAGAAGAAAACCACUUAUUCACAACAUUUGAUUUCUUUUUUUUCCCCUCCCCUUUUUCCUGAAUAAAUCUAUAGGCUUAUAUAAACAUAAGUUUCUUAAAUGUAUGUUCACACAUGAUUUGAAUAUAAGACUUAUGGCUCACGAAUAUGCAUACCAAUGUAAUAAAUGGGAAGCAUACUAAUGUGAGAAAAAAAUAUCCCAUUGGUUAACUUUUCUCUCUCUGUAUGUAUAUUAUAAAACCUCCAGCGAGUCAAUUUGACAAAGGAGGUACUAAUUUGAAAUACGAGUCCAAAUAAAUGGCUGGACUAGUUGAUUGACGAGGACAUGAAUAAAGUUGAACGAAUUGGAAUCAAAUUUUUAUAACAUUUUAUGAGAAAUUAAGUUGUCACAGAGGGUUUCAUUUUACCAUUUUAAAUGCUUCUUAUCUUCUACUUCUGCCUGCAGCAACAGAAAAAGUGAUGGUGUGAUUCUCCUGUUAGCGAGAAUCAGAAAUAAAAAUUUGAAGUUCAAAAACAAGAGCAUUAAUUUGGUGCUUCUACUUUCUGCUGCAGCCCAACAUUUGUUAAGAAAACUUUCAUAUAGCACACCUCCUAAAAGCACAAGUAGCAGUUCAUCCAAGUGCACCAUACAAAAUAUGCCCUAGCAAAUGAAAAUAUGCAGAUGUAGUAUCAAGAAAAGUGUAUUCUACGCAGAUGCAAAUCCCAUACGCCACCGAAAAAGAUCGAAACCAAUAUCUGGGCAACCUUCUGAUCCAUCUUAAUAGUUGAAAUGCUAUAUCGCACAAUGUAUCACCAAAACUCCAAGAAAUAGGAACCAAAAUAAUAAGAAUACUAAUUUAAGGCAAUAGUAUGCUACAAUGCAUCGAACUAAACUGCUUGAUAAAGUAGAAGAGAGUUUUUGAACAUAGCGCAGGACAAAUCCGACAUUCUAAUGGAAGGCCUAAAUUAUAAGAAAUAACUGUAGGAUGUCUUGUAUUAUAAAGCUGCUUCUUUAACCGGAGAAGAUGAAAUAUGAAAGAGUAACAUCGACCCACAAACCAAAUAGUCAUCUCAAACACAAAAAAGAACAUCUCAUAACAAGAUAAAUAGCGCCAGUAGGAAAACCAAACUCCUCAAAAUACUAUGUUUAACUGUCCAAAGAAGACUUGCUUCGAUCUCGACUUCAGUUAGGCCGCGGAGUAGCCCACUCGACUCGAAGGAUAAGAUUAUCAUAACCGUACCCAUUGAGCUUAUUAAUCGCCCUCUCGGCGUCCUCCUUGUGAACGAAAUUGACAAAGCCAAACCCCCUACUGACCCCCGUCUUCUGGUCGACCGCAACAUAGACACGGCUGACUGGACCAAACGUACGGAAGAGUUCAAGCAGGUCGGGUUCGCGGGUAUCCUCCGAAAGGUUGGUGACUCGGACGGAGUUCUCGUCGUUCCGGCGCCUCAUCUCGGUUCCAGUUCUAUCUCCUCCGCCACCUCGCAUGCCAGGUGGCACGUAGGUACUUUUGCCGGUUCCUGGGGCUGAAGGUCCCAACUCCGGUGGAGGCAGGUUGUCGGUUUGCGGGGCGAGAUCCUUGUAGGGGCACUUUGAAGUCCAGUGGUCGCCCUUUCUGCCGCAGGUUCUGCAUACCAUGAGAACGGCACCAGCUUUCCCAGCUGCAGCUAGGGCAUCACCUGUCAUGCUUGUUUCUUCUUGUUUGCUGCCUGCAGUCAGUUUUAGGAGAAUUAAGGCCAUUUAACUACUGGAUCAUAUACAGAAAUAAGCAAAAUAAAUGAAGCAAAAGGAAUAGCCAAGAAAAUACUAAGAUAAGUGAUGAACUUAAAGAUAAUAGCUGAGAAAACCCUAAGAUAAGAAAUGAAGUAUUUAGGGUCCAAACGCAAACUCUACAGGAGUGAAUACAUCGAUGGCUGGCAGGUGGUUUGCAACAAAUACACCUUGGGUUUUUCUAGGCAAUAAAAAAACAGAAACUAAAUAACCACUCUUUGGGCACCUGUUAAUUUAGACAAGACACCAUUCCACACCUAGACAAGUUCCAUCACAAGCUAACGAACAAUAAGAAAAACAGACAUGCAUCCACGGCAGCAUGCAAUCUGUCAGCCGAGGUAAUCUUGAGUCAUACUAGUUUCAUACCUUAACAGUUUUUUUCAUACCUGCUUUACUCAUUAACACGUAUUCCAUACAUCAGAGGCAUCUUUUUCAUAUAUUACAAUAAUAAUUUUGUGACAAUUUGUUAAAGAUAAUUCCCAUAAUUUACUUUCCUAAAGUAUGUAACCAAUGCAAAGAUGCCACUUAACAAAAGAUGUUGAGGAUAAUAACAUGCCAGAGUUACAGGAAAUGAGGUGCUGAUUAAAAGAGUUUAUGGUAUAAGUUAUUAUAUAUUCAUAAUGUAAUCAACAUUCAUUCAUUAGCAAUUCAACAUACAGAAAAAGUAUGAUAAACUAAACACUCAUGCAUAAGAGUCUAAACUUUAGCUCAAAGGACAAGAACACUAAUCAUGCAUCAAUUUCAUGCCUUUGAAUUAUGUGAUUUAAAAGGAAUACUUUUAAAUUUGAAGUUCUGCACGAAAUUGACAUGAAUACAUAUAUGUGCACAAUAUUAUACCAUGGAUAUUUCUAAGUGUUCCGCCUACUUUUCGGCAACUAUUGCCAUUUGAACAAAAAGCUACUACAAAAUUAUUACAUUUCUAGAUAUUUAGAUUCAUGAUACUACUGUCUACAUAUUUGCCAUGUGAUGCUAAAAUACUCAAAAGUUUAGAUUCUCAAGGCAAAUGAUACUAAUUUUGACAGUAUAUUUACAUAAUAGGGCAAGACAUGUAUAUUGUGGUAAAAAAAAAUCAAAGAGUCAUAUUAACAGGAAGUAUCAUUAAAAGUUUGGUUCGAACUUUCGAAUUACAAGUGCAAUUCCAUUUCCACAAUUGACCUUACACCAACAGGAACCUAAUGAUGGUUCUCCCUUACAACUGCCUACACCUUCCUGACAUUCACCUAAUGCAUUCAUAACCAUUAUUAUGAUUACCUUUCUUCCACUCCCAAAAACCCCUUAAUUCCUCCAAUUUUCCCUGCUUCCUCAGAAAUAAUUGCCAUCCAACCUUGCAAGUUGCAACAAUGCACUUCACUUCCAUAGAAACACAAUCUCCAACAUCUAUUCUCUUUUGGGAUAUCGGGAAUUUGGGAUUCCAUGCAUAGAUGGAAAGAUGGAAAGAUGGAGCAACAACCACACCAAUGCGUGGUUUAUGCAAGUGGGGAAAGAACAUACGCUCAAAGGUAAACAAAAUAAUCAUCACAAUAUGAGUGCCUAGCCUAUAUGUUUAUACCAAUGAAAUUCUCCUCUAAUUCAUCUACCUCAUUUCACACAGUUGAUCUUGUCCAUCCUUUGCCACAAUAAGAAAAGCCUUCAAGAUAGAAAGCUCCAGAGCACAAUACAAGGCGGAGGUGCAUGUAAGAAAGCACAAUAAUUGACAAUGUUAGUCAACCAUAUAAUGUCAGAAGGAAUACAUGACUGAUAGGCAAUGAAGAUGUGGAAGAGUAGAGGAAGGACAAGUGAGACAGAGCCAGCCAUGGCCUGUCAGCUGUCCUAAUGUUUGCGAAAGGAACAUACAAGGAGACAGGGAUUAUCAAGAAAUGCAUCAAAUUUGAGUUUUCGCAUAGGCUAGGGGCCUCCCCCGCCCCCCCCCCCCCCCCCCCCCCUCUCUCUCUCUCUCUCUCUCUCUCUCUCUCCAAUUGAUUGUUGCCGGUUUACUUAACUAUUUAUAUUCUAUCUCAAAUUUCAACUUAUAUUCUUCUCAAUUUCAUAUUACUCGUAAGAUUUUCUGCAAAUAUUAGUGUCCUUCAUUCUCCCUCCAUCACAGCAGUGCAACUACUGGAACAAAUGUAUUCUUUUGCCUUAAGUUCCUACAACAUCAGGUCUUUCUCAGAUUCGUGCUCAAUUCCCCUUUAGCUUCCACUACAUCAUUUUCCUCGAUGCCACAAUAAUGAUAUUCUUCUACCAUUGUGAUCGCAUAUUUACAUCCAUAAAUACAAUAAUACAUAAAAAACACUCUUGACAAGGAACGCUCCUAAAUACUAUUUGCAAGCACAUAACUCACAAAUAAACCUACAGAUCAUCAUCUCUAUGCCUGCUGACAACAGAACAUAUACUCAUAAUAAGAUCUACAGGCCUAGAACGUACCGAACACAAAAAAUACCUCCCAUUUUCAGCAUCUGCAUAUCAUCUAUAGUAUAAUUGACGCCAAAGCAGAACCAAAAACAUGAUCUUUUUGCAAAAGAAAGCAAUUUCUCAACCUUAAACAUA
Molecule: long non-coding RNA, 24855 nt
Filed under: Ananas comosus (pineapple)
Lineage: Eukaryota; Viridiplantae; Streptophyta; Magnoliopsida; Poales; Bromeliaceae
Description: long non-coding RNA (ACOM_LNC029770)
Source: RNAcentral